UGCUGGCACCUUGAUCUUGGACUUUCCGGGCUUCAGAAUAAAAUAAAUUAAAUACAUUUUCUCUGUAAAACAACCAAAAAGCUUUUAAGAAAACAGUGAAUCUUCUAUAAAAACAAUGACUAGCUACUUGUUUUCUGAGACAUGUACAUGAAACCAGAGCCUAUUUUCUAGAGGAUCUCAUUGUCAAUGAGCAGAUGGCCGCUCUGCUGGUCAGAAGAGCUUCUUCAUGAACUAAGGGGCCACUGAAUCUCAUUAAUGUUUUUUGCUUCUUGGCUGCUGUUGGAGGAACGUAAAAUUCUUUGCAAAGUGUGAACAAAUGGUGUCGACUCAUCUGUUUAUUAAGGACAUGAGAGCCUACAUAGUAUCUUAGAGCUCCAAACGCCAAUGAAGUUGAUUUUAGAACACUGAUUAUUGUUUAUGGGCAGGGCAGGCUUGGACAGGUUUUGACAUGUGUAUCCCUGUCCAGCAAGACUCGGACAUGGGGUGGGGAGCUUCAAGUGGUGGUCAAGGGUGAAUUCUAUUCUGAGAAGGUUCUGGUUUGUUUUUCCUGCACUGCCCACUUCCUUCCUUAAGGAGCUACUUCCUCUUAAACGACAUUUCCUUGCCCCAUAUUAGCACAGGGCCACGUGCACAGUAAGGGUGAGAUAGGGUGGUAAUCCACAGGGUUGAGCGCUUACAGAUUCUCUCUCCUCCAGCUAUGUCGACUGCAGCUGCUCACCCGGGAACCAAAGGCCAACUUUCUCACCCAGCAAAUAACAUAAUGCAUUGGAUUUCCCAAACAGGGGAAGUAAAGAGAUUGGUCCAACAGAGUUCAGGAAGGAAUGUGAACAGCCUGGCUGGCACCUACAACCAAAGAGGGCAAACAGAUCAUUCACUUCCUUCCCGCGGAACAGAUGCAGAAACAAAGAAGCUAUCCACCUCCAGACUGAUGAAGAGAACCUGGCCCCUAGAAGCUAACGUGUUCGCUACAAAAGCGGGAACUUGGAACCAUUCUUUCUGUUUUUCUUCGGCCACACCUCAUGCUAUGCAAAAGCUCCCUGACCAAGGAUCAAACCAGCACCCCUUCCCCCGUGGAAGCGCAGCGUCCCAACCACUGGACCAGCAGGAAAGGACCAAACCAUCACUUCUUAUAUGGAGAUAGACUUGAUUGUAUUUUCUUCACAAAGGGAAUCCUUGUGGCUUUUUAAAAACAUGUUGCUGUGUUCAGCUGCUGGCAUCUCCACAAGACACAAAUAACCUAGGAAUCCCUACAUAUCGGCACAUCCAACUUAGCCCACUGUUUACUCUGAUUUACUCCCAGUCUGUCACAACGGCCCCUCUUGAAUUCUUAGCUCCCUAAUCAGUAUGGUGGCAGCUGUUCUAAACAGAGGUGACCCUGUUUCACUUAGCCACUGGUCUCAGCAGCAGACACAGUAUGGGGUCAGAGGUAAAGCAAUAUUAGGAGACCAGAGAGUCAAACUUACAGGGUUGGGGAGACCAACAGUUCUGGGGCAAGGAAUGCUGAAGCUGGGUUGGGGGUUAAUGUGCGGGGACAGUUCUCCAGUCAACCGCACACAGUAACUAGGUAGCCAUUCUUAUUUCUUUGCCAUUCCAACCUGACCAUUCAACUAAAAUCGCAGACUCUGGGGUGUGAAGAAAACCAGGACUGAAAGGCUGCUCCCCACAAUCCAUCUUCACAUCAAGUGAUAUUAAGGGUGCCUUGGCAACUGCAAGAGAAGCAGCAUGUUUACCGCGCCACUUCUGGAAUUUCAAAUUCAAGUAUAAGCUAUUUCUGUACAUUCAUAAAACAUCGUACUGUAUUAGAGUUCUUAAAAAUACCCAUUUAUUUCAUUACAUUGUCUUCUUCUGUAAUAGGUGAAAAAAUUGUUUUAGCAUGAAAGAAAUAAAGCUCUUCCAUGAUUGGUUCUGUUUGCUUGUUUUCUCUGAAGGAGCAAUAAUAUCUGGGGAAGAAAUAAUGGCACGUAUAGCAAACAAAAAAUAUUAAAAGGAUAGUAUCUGUUCACAUUUUUGACUACUGCUAAAUAGAUAUUUUACAACUCUGGUUUAUGUUUGUGUAUAAGCCCUUGGCCACUGUGAUCCUCAUUUCAGACAGAUGUUUCUAUUUUCAUCUGAAGUUUCAAUACAUUUUUUAGUAUGUUCUCUUUCUUCCUAAUAGUUAAAAUUUUCUUUUCAAAAGAUAAUGUAUUUUAAAGACUGACUCUCUUUUUUAUUUUUCAUUUUUUAAAUUUUACUUUACAAUACUGUAUUGGUUUUGCCAUACAUCAACAUGAAUCCACCACGGGUGUGCUGAGUUCCCAAUCCUGAACCCCUCUUCCACCUCCCUCCCCAUACCAUCUCUCUGGGUCAUCCCAGUGCACCAGCCCCAAGCAUCCUGCAUCCUGCAUCAAACCUAGACUGGCGAUUCGUUUCUUACAUGGUAUUAUACAUGUUUCAAUGCCAUUCUCCCAAAUCAUCCCACCCUCUCCCUCUCCCUCUCCCAUAGAGUCCAGAAGUCUGUUCUAUACAUCUGUGUCUCUUUUGCUGUCUUGCAUACAGGCUUAUCAUUACCAUCUUUCUAAAUUCCAUAUAUGUUACUGCUACUGCUGCUGCUAAGUUGCUUCAGUCGUGUCCAACUCUGUGCGACCCCAUGGACGGCAGCCCACCAGGCACCCCCAUCCCCAGGAUUCUCCAGGCAAGAACACUGCAGUGGGUUGCCAUUUCCUUCUCAAAUGCAGGAAAGUGAAAAGUGAAAGUGAAGUUGCUCAGUCGUGUCCGACCCUCAGCGACCCCAUGGACUGCAGCCUUCCAGGCUCCGCCGUCCAUGGGAUUUUCCAGUCAAGAGUACUGGAGUGGGGUGUCUGUGCGUUAGUAUACUGUAUUGGUGUUUUUCUUUCUGGCUUACUUCACUCUGUAUAAUCGGCUCCAGUUUCACCCACCUCAUUAGAACUGAUUCAAUGUAUUCUUUUUAAUGGCUGAGUAAUACUCCAUUGUGUAUAUGUACCAUAGCUUUCUUAUCCAUCCACCUGCUGAUGGACAUCUAUAAAGACUGACUCUUAUUCUUAAUUUUAUUCAGGUCAUGUAGUAUAUUUCAUGGAAGGAAAUUUGCAUAGGAUAAGCAUGUACUCCAAAGGAAUUUUAAGUAAAGGCCCUAUACUCCCACAUUCAGCGUGCACCUCAUCUUCCAGCACACUGUUUCAGUUGCAACAAAAUAUUUAAACCCAUUAAUGAACAUCAAAUAAUCUGGCCUGUCAUCUGGAUAUUUCGUCAACACAAUGUUUUGAUACUUGGAUAUUUCUGAGUUGUUCAUUUCAUCCAGCUGUUUGAUAAUUAAAUAAAUACAACCUUCAUAUGCCAUAAAUCCUCAGAGCAAGAGAGUCUGGGAUUGAGGAUCUGGUUGCAGGAAUGAAUCCUACUGGUUUAUCAUCUGUCUCUGAGGCUAACUAACAUCAUAAUAACUGAAUGCCAUGGAGUCUCAACCAUUGAUAAGCUACAACAAUUAAAUUUUUUCUUUGUCUUUCUUUUUUUUCUUUCUUAUUUUUAAAACAAUGGAGUAUAUUCAAGGCAGUGUUAAGCCCUGAAUCACACUGUAAUUAUUUUUCACACAGCUUAUUUGCAUUCACAAUAACCUGAUAACAGCAUGCAAUUCACUCCAAGCUAGAGACUGGUCCAUCAUCCAUUAGCUGAAGACAAACACAGGUUCCAAUAAAACAUUUAGUAAGUGGCUGGGUAAUUCAGGACAGGUCUAUUUCAAGCCUAUUUCCUGUUUACAUAAGCAUUCAAGUCUAAUUCUAAUUAGCAUUCUGAAAUCAGCCUUAAUUAGUACAUAUAUUUUGGAUAGUUCAUUUAAGAAAACACACAGCCUGUGAAGAAAAGAUUUGUAUACAUGGAGAUCUGAGGACAAUAUUACAAAUGAAGAAAACUGUUUCUAAGCGCUACCAUUUCAGAUCAAAGGAGGCUAGAUAGGGAAACAUUUGCCAAGUGGUAGAAAUACCUUUGCUUGGUUCUUUUUUUAAACAUGUGUCUUAGGUCGAACAUAAAAUAAAACAGUGGUGCAUGUAAGUUAUAUCUGUAGAAUGAACAUUUGAGAGUUACAUGGAUUAAAUUUUGAAGCCUCACUCAACCAUAAAAGGCACACAAAUGCUGGGAAGUUGAAUUUUGGGGGGUUGUUUUCACAAAGAAAUGAGUUGUAUAUAAAGAUUAAAAAGCCCAAAUUACUGAUUUAUAAAUAUUGUUUAAAAGAAGACAAACCAGAAAAUAUUUUGAGAACUUUAGGAGGACUUGAG
This 4262-nucleotide long non-coding RNA is filed under the name Capra hircus (goat). RNAcentral's name for it is "lncRNA (ENSCHIG00000004745.1)". Lineage: Eukaryota; Metazoa; Chordata; Mammalia; Artiodactyla; Bovidae. The record is from RNAcentral.